RNAcentral lists this ribosomal RNA (253 nucleotides) under uncultured bacterium. RNAcentral describes it as "partial 16S ribosomal RNA". It matches the Rfam family "Bacterial small subunit ribosomal RNA", at positions 524 to 776 of the family's 1533-position model. The record is from RNAcentral.
UACAGAGGUCUCAAGCGUUGUUCGGAUUCAUUGGGCGUAAAGGGUGCGUAGGCGGCGCGGUAAGUCGGGUGUGAAAUCUUGGAGCUUAACUCCGAAACUGCAUUCGAUACUGCCGUGCUUGAGGACUGGAGAGGAGACUGGAAUUUACGGUGUAGCGGUGAAAUGCGUAGAUAUCCGGAGGAACACCGGUGGCGAAGGCGGCUUCCUGGACCGACACUGACGCUGAGGCGCGAAAGCUAGGGGAGCAAACGGG